UGGAUAACAGGUUGAUAUUCCUGUACCACCUAUAAUCGUUUUAAUCGAUGGGGGGACGCAGUAGGAUAGGCGAAGCGUGCGAUUGGAUUGCACGUCUAAGCAGUAAGGCUGAGUAUUAGGCAAAUCCGGUACUCGUUAAGGCUGAGCUGUGAUGGGGAGAAGACAUUGUGUCUUCGAGUCGUUGAUUUCACACUGCCGAGAAAAGCCUCUAGAUAGAAAAUAGGUGCCCGUACCGCAAACCGACACAGGUAGUCAAGAUGAGAAUUCUAAGGUGAGCGAGCGAACUCUCGUUAAGGAACUCGGCAAAAUGACCCCGUAACUUCGGGAGAAGGGGUGCUCUUUAGGGUUAACGCCCAGAAGAGCCGCAGUGAAUAGGCCCAAGCGACUGUUUAUCAAAAACACAGGUCUCUGCUAAACCGUAAGGUGAUGUAUAGGGGCUGACGCCUGCCCGGUGCUGGAAGGUUAAGAGGAGUGGUUAGCUUCUGCGAAGCUACGAAUCGAAGCCCCAGUAAACGGCGGCCGUAACUAUAACGGUCCUAAGGUAGCGAAAUUCCUUGUCGGGUAAGUUCCGACCCGCACGAAAGGCGUAACGAUUUGGGCACUGUCUCAACGAGAGACUCGGUGAAAUCAUAGUACCUGUGAAGAUGCAGGUUACCCGCGACAGGACGGAAAGACCCCGUGGAGCUUUACUGUAGCCUGAUAUUGAAAUUCGGCACAGCUUGUACAGGAUAGGUAGGAGCCUUUGAAACGUGAGCGCUAGCUUACGUGGAGGCGCUGGUGGGAUACUACCCUAGCUGUGUUGGCUUUCUAACCCGCACCACUUAUCGUGGUGGGAGACAGUGUCAGGCGGGCAGUUUGACUGGGGCGGUCGCCUCCUAAAAGG
Molecule: ribosomal RNA, 883 nt
Filed under: Staphylococcus aureus
Lineage: Bacteria; Bacillati; Bacillota; Bacilli; Caryophanales; Staphylococcaceae
Description: partial 23S ribosomal RNA
Rfam family: Bacterial large subunit ribosomal RNA
Source: RNAcentral